GCUGGCGGCGACACAUGCAAGUCGAACGCUGAAGCACUGUGCUUGCACGGUGUGGAUGAGUGGCGAACGGGUGAGUAACACGUGAGUAACCUGCCCCUGACUUCGGGAUAAGCUUGGGAAACUGGGUCUAAUACCGGAUGUGACUACUGGCCGCAUGGUCUGGUGGUGGAAAGGGUUUUACUGGUUGGGGAUGGACUGCUUAUCGCGGCCUAUCAGUUUGUUGGUGGGGUAGUGGCCUACCAAGACGACGACGGGUAGCCGGCCUGAGAGGGCGACCGGCCACACUGGGACUGAGACACGGCCCAGACUCCUACGGGAGGCAGCAGUGGGGAAUAUUGCACAAUGGGGGGAGCAGCGACGCCGCGUGCGGGAUGACGGCCUUCGGGUUGUAAACCGCUUUCAGUAGGGAAGAAGCGAAAGUGACGGUACCUGCAGAAGAAGUACCGGCUAAUACGUGCCAGCAGCCGCGGUAAUACGUAGGGUACAAGCUUUGUACCCUGAUCCGGAAUUAUUGGGCGUAAAGAGCUCGUAGGUGGUUGGUCGCGUCUCCUGUGGAAACGCAACGCUUAACGUUGCGCGUGCAGUGGGUACGAGCUGACUAGAGUGCAGUAGGGGAGUCUGGAAUUCCUGGUGUAGCGGUGAAAUGCGGAUAUAAGGAGGAACACCGGUGGCGAAGGCGGGACUCUGGGCUGUAACUGACGCUGAGGAGCGAAAGCAUGGGGAGCGAACAGGAUUAGAUACCCUGGUAGUCCAUGCCGUAAACGGGGAACUAGGUGUGGGGUCCGUUCCACGGAUUCCGUGCCGGAGUAACGCAUUAAGUUCCCCGCCUGGGGAGUACGGCCGCAAGGCUAAAACUCAAAGGAAUUGACGGGGGCCCUU
Molecule: ribosomal RNA, 879 nt
Filed under: Brevibacterium sp. IFBG AMR
Lineage: Bacteria; Bacillati; Actinomycetota; Actinomycetes; Micrococcales; Brevibacteriaceae
Description: bacterial SSU rRNA
Rfam family: Bacterial small subunit ribosomal RNA
Source: RNAcentral